This 897-nucleotide long non-coding RNA is filed under the name Astyanax mexicanus (Mexican tetra). RNAcentral describes it as "lncRNA (ENSAMXG00005001169.1)". Lineage: Eukaryota; Metazoa; Chordata; Actinopteri; Characiformes; Acestrorhamphidae. The record is from RNAcentral.
AACCCGAGUAGAGAGAGGGAAAGUAUGAAAGAAAGUUGUUUGCGGUUGUUUAACUCUGGAGAUUUUACUUUUACUGAUGUUUCUGUAAAGCAGAUUGAGCUGAAAUGGAAAGAAGAAGAGCUUUUUAAAAGAUAGGAAAGGAUUAUUAACAUUAACAACAUUAUCUCAGGAUUUUUCCUUCUUUUUAACUCCUUAAAUGUGAAUAAAUGCAGGAAUGAAUCAAAUCUCAGCGAACAGAAGAUCCGGUCCAGUUCUGAUCACACUGCUGAUCUCAAUGUGUGUGUCGGCAGACGGCAGGAAUAUCACAGUCAGGAUGGGAUCGGGCGUGAUGCUACCGUGUAGCUGCCCACACGUUUCUUCACUGCUCAGCUGGCAGAAGGGCAUCACCAUAGUGUACAGUGAUCGCAGAAACUCAGCCGAAACCAGUGCAGAUCAGCAGUACAGCGGGAGAACCAGAGUCCUGGAGAGCAACUGCUCUCUGGUCCUGAGCCGAGUUCAGCUGUCUGACGAGGGAGAGUACUCCUGCUACUACCAGACCUCCAGUUUCUCCGUAGAGACUGUAACUCUACACGUCACAGCCGAUGCUUCUUGUGAGUACAAAUCUGGCCUUUACCAUUGUAAGGCCACCUGGGGUUCUCCUGAGGGGUGGAUUGUAUGGAGAUUGAACGGUCAGUCCAAGUUCCUGCAUUCAGUGUUUUUCCAGAGGAAGCUGGAUGAAGAUUCUGGUCUCUAUAUCAUAAACGGCUCCGCCAACAUAACCAGUAAUGGCGCAGUGACGUGUGAGGUGGAGACUUCCGGAAAAACAGUGGAAAUUGUAGAGUGUAACCGUAAGUGUGCUUAGGAAACUUUUUCUGGUAUAUAGUUGCAGGAAAAAAUAUGUGAAUCCUUUGGGAUUAC